AUUAAUAGUAAUGAAAAUUUAGAAUAUUCAUUUCUUCUCUUUUCUUUUUUUCUUAUAUGUAUAAAAAAGAGUAUGUAAAAAAAAAAAAAAAAAUUAUGUAUGUGUAACCAUAUAUACUAAAAAAAAAAGAAUCAAACACAUAAAAACAUUCAACAAAAAGUUAUUUAUUGUCAGAUGGAAGGUUUCUGCUAAAGAAUUAGCAAAAUUAAAGGAACAAUUAAAAAUUUUUAUUACAUCAGAAAUUCAAAAGGAAGGUUCCGCUUUACUUCAAAAAUACUAUAAAGAGUUUUUAAUUCCUGAUGAAGAAACUGAGAAUGAUGUACAAUCUGAAACACUCUUUAAACAAAAUUCUGGGACCCCAUCAUCAGAAAACAUAAAAACCGAUGAAGAAAUUAAAAAAAAUGUAAAUAAAUCUUUUAAUUUAAAUGGCCCUGUUUUAUUAAUUUAAGAUUAAAAAACAAAAAAAAUUGCCCUUUUUUUUUUUUUUUUUUUCUUACACAACGCAUAUGCACGUAUAUAUAUGAUUAUAUAAAUAAAUAUAUAAGUAUAAAUGUAACGAUUUAGUUU
Molecule: long non-coding RNA, 567 nt
Filed under: Piliocolobus tephrosceles (Ugandan red Colobus)
Lineage: Eukaryota; Metazoa; Chordata; Mammalia; Primates; Cercopithecidae
Description: lncRNA (ENSPTEG00000014135.1)
Source: RNAcentral